RNAcentral lists this unclassified non-coding RNA (249 nucleotides) under Hevea brasiliensis (rubber tree). The record is from RNAcentral. Lineage: Eukaryota; Viridiplantae; Streptophyta; Magnoliopsida; Malpighiales; Euphorbiaceae.
GAGAGAGAGAGAGAGAGAAGUUAGGCUGUGAAGUUGGGAUUGCGGAGCGUGGGAAGUAAGAAGAUUCACUUUGAUCAACUUUCUGUUUGGGUUUAGUCCAUUUGGAAUCUAGGAAAGUACUUAUAGUGGACGCAUCCUAAUUCCUCCAUAGUUGGCUUCCUGUAAAAUAAGCUAAUAUAAGAAUCAAACGUGGCUAGAAGCCAAAGGUGGUGAUCUACCUCUCCAUAUAUUGGCUUUGUUAGCCUUUUG